Long non-coding RNA from Prionailurus viverrinus (fishing cat), 273 nucleotides. RefSeq lists it as uncharacterized. The record is from RefSeq and is a predicted model, not a curated record. The transcript has 3 exons. Lineage: Eukaryota; Metazoa; Chordata; Mammalia; Carnivora; Felidae.
GAUGGGGGUGGAGGGGUGCGGCUGGCGAUGUGGCGUUCCCGCGGGCUCGAGCACGUGACUUGGCAGAGUGACCUCAUGCGGAAACGGUUUGGGACGCCGGCAAACUCGCCAGAAGGGCAAAUCACCUAUCUCUCCCAGUCUUGAAGGAAUAGCCUUGUGUAGGAGAUGUCAUGUGGAACCCAGAAGCAUAAUCCCCUCUGACCACCAGAAUGAUGUGUAUCUGCAGCAUGCAGAGAGAGAGCAUGAGCAGGGGAGGGGCAGAGAGAGAGCAGG